Molecule: non-coding RNA, 26 nt
Filed under: Cricetulus griseus (Chinese hamster)
Lineage: Eukaryota; Metazoa; Chordata; Mammalia; Rodentia; Cricetidae
Source: RNAcentral
UAAACUGGAGAGAACUCCAAAUGGUC